AGGCGCGUAGCUCAGAUGGUUAGAGCGCACGACUGAUAAUCGUGAGGUCGGCAGUUCGACUCUGCCCGUGCCUACCA
This 77-nucleotide transfer RNA is filed under the name SAR116 cluster alpha proteobacterium HIMB100. RNAcentral describes it as "tRNA-Ile". It matches the Rfam family "tRNA". From Rfam's summary of the family: Transfer RNA (tRNA) molecules are approximately 80 nucleotides in length. Their secondary structure includes four short double-helical elements and three loops (D, anti-codon, and T loops). Further hydrogen bonds mediate the characteristic L-shaped molecular structure. tRNAs have two regions of fundamental functional importance: the anti-codon, which is responsible for specific mRNA codon recognition, and the 3' end, to which the tRNAs corresponding amino acid is attached (by aminoacyl-tRNA synthetases). tRNAs cope with the degeneracy of the genetic code in two manners: having more than one tRNA (with a specific anti-codon) for a particular amino acid; and 'wobble' base-pairing, i.e. permitting non-standard base-pairing at the 3rd anti-codon position. The record is from RNAcentral. RNAcentral also lists the same sequence under 3 other names. Lineage: Bacteria; Pseudomonadati; Pseudomonadota; Alphaproteobacteria; Puniceispirillales (SeqCode).